GAUGAAGAACGUAGCGAAACGCGAUAAGUAAUGUGAAUUGCAGAAUCCAGUGAAUCAUCGACUCUUUGAACGCACAUUGCGCCCGCCAGCAUUCUGGCGGGCAUGCCUGUUCGAGCGUCAUUUCAACCCUCGACCUCCCCUUGGGGAGGUCGGCGUUGGGGACCGGCAGCACACCGCCGGCCCUGAAAUGGAGUGGCGGCCCGUCCGCGGCGACCUCUGCGCAGUAAUACAGCUCGCACCGGGACCCCGACGCGGCCACGCCGUAAAACACCCAACUUCUGAACGUUGACCUCGAAUCAGGUAGGACUACCCGCUGAACUUAAGCAUAUCAAUAAGCGGAGGA
RNAcentral lists this unclassified non-coding RNA (343 nucleotides) under soil metagenome. RNAcentral describes it as "partial contains 5.8S ribosomal RNA, internal transcribed spacer 2, and large subunit ribosomal RNA". The stretch from base 1 to 120 matches the Rfam family "5.8S ribosomal RNA", at positions 35 to 154 of the family's 154-position model. The record is from RNAcentral.